RNAcentral lists this ribosomal RNA (301 nucleotides) under uncultured bacterium. RNAcentral describes it as "partial 16S ribosomal RNA". It matches the Rfam family "Bacterial small subunit ribosomal RNA", at positions 509 to 808 of the family's 1533-position model. The record is from RNAcentral.
CAGCAGCCACGGUAAUACAGAGGGUGCGAGCGUUAAUCGGAUUUACUGGGCGUAAAGCGUGCGUAGGCGGCUUCUUAAGUCGGAUGUGAAAUCCCUGAGCUUAACUUAGGAAUUGCAUUCGAUACUGGGAAGCUAGAGUAUGGGAGAGGAUGGUAGAAUUCCAGGUGUAGCGGUGAAAUGCGUAGAGAUCUGGAGGAAUACCGAUGGCGAAGGCAGCCAUCUGGCCUAAUACUGACGCUGAGGUACGAAAGCAUGGGGAGCAAACAGGAUUAGAUACCCCCGUAGUCCCUGUCUCUUUACA